UCAAAUGUGCAGGAAAUAAUUAUUCUACGAUGUCUUUGCCAGUCUUUUGAGCCUGAAUCACUGUUGAGACCUUAUUAAACAAUGUAAUGGCUUGGCUCAGAAAAUAAUUUUAUGACGUCUUUUAAUUCAAGUUUCUUAGUUUUUACAGUUCAAGUACUUUUCAGACUACUCUGGUUCUCUUCCAAAUUUAUAUGUGAGAUUCUUGAUAGGAGAGAAUUGUAAAUACAAUAAGGAACAUCAGCCUUAGCAUAUUUGUUAAUGUUUAUUUGGCCCUCUGGGAAAUAGGCCAGUAAAUUUUUAUUGUUUACUUUGAGGGGUUAUUUUAGUGAAAGUGACCCAAAUCAAAUCAAAACAUUUAAAUACCUACCCCUUGGGUUAUGGAUGAAGUGCAUAUGGAAACCACCCAAGCUUUAGGUGCUGCUAUUAGUGACAGAAAUAGUAACUGCUAACACAUUGUUUAUUCUUUGCCAGAAACUUUUAUAUUUGAAAAUACAUUCAAGGAGUUUCCUAGUGGCCUAGCAGUUAAGGACCCAGUGUUGUCACUGCUGUGGCACACGUUAGACCCCUGUGGCCAAAAAUAAAAUCCAUUCAAUUCUUGUAACCACUUUAUGAGGGAGAUGUAUCAUUAUUCCCAUACUAUAAGGUAAGGAAACGGAGUCACAGGGUUAAAAUAGCAUACCUAAUGCCGCAUAACUAGUAAGGGGAGGAGUCAGGACUCAAGCUCUGGUAAUUUGAUUGCAGAACUCACACUCAGUAAUUACAUCUACAACCUCUGUCCUAUAGUUAACAAGAGGUAGAGGAGACAAAAUUAAAUAUUAAGCCCUAAAAUGUUCAAAAUGAUAGUGAUACCUUCCAAAGAAAGUCUUAAAGUUAGGUUUGUAUGUGAAAGUACCAUACUAAGCACAAAUUAGUUUCUCACAUAUUCCAUGAUGGUACUACUGUCCCAUUGUAAGGAGGCAUGCUCUGACAAGUGUUUCGGUAACACAGGAUGUGGGAUGUUUAUGUGUUCUUGUCCCUCAGUGUGUAUGUGUGGUCCAUGGAUAUACUUGUAGCUAUAUGAAUUCAGUCGGCCUUUAAUAGUGUCCUCCCCUGAGAAAACUGUCCAGAAUAAAGCCACACAAUCUAUAGGUCACACUUGGUUGUACUGUUUUUGAGGUAUCAGCAUCAAACAGCAUUGUCAUCUCACUUUACAUGUCUCUGGAAGCUAAUCAAAAUCUAAAGGAAAAUUGACCUUUUGUAACUAAAAGACCACAAACAAACUAUACAUUUAAAUUGUAAACUUAGUUUGCAAAUUACCUAUCCCUAAGCUAUCAGAUAUACCAUUUUCUUAGUAUUUCAUGUCAAUUUAAAGAAUUGGACUUCUGGCAAAGCUUAAUAAUCAUUAACUUCUUUCUGUCUUACAGAGCAAUUCCAGGCAGUAUAUAGCAAGCUCUUACACAGCCUUCAGACAUACUCUUGGGUAUUACCUCAGAGAGGCAACCUCGUCCCCCCGCCAUUUCACAUACACAGAAAAUUGAUAGCUCCCGUUUCUGUUUUAUCAACCCUGUAGUCGUUUCAUUAUUGCUUAUGUGGCCUCAUAAUUGUGAUUAUUUUCUUCCUUAUUUCUCUAAGAUUAGCCUGUAAGCCUAAAAGGCUUGAGCCCAGGCGGUAUCUUAACUUAUUUGGUGACUAAUGUAGUAAAUAGAGCCAGUGACUUCACAUAGCACUCAGUAUUAUGUUAGUUCCCUUCCUUACUAUGGAAUACAUUGAUACCAAUAUUAGUAUGACUACUCAAAACAACUUACUUUUUAGAUAGCCAGAGUUAGACCUUACUUUUCAGUGGAAUUCUCCUAGUCUCAAUUAAGUCAAAUCUAUUUCCAGAUUACCAAUAUCACAUUUUCAUUGAAGGAUCAGAUGGAAAGGGAAAUGAAAAACAUGAAAUAGUUCUUGCCAGGCACUUAUUUUGACAUCACCACUGCCCCCACCAAAAAAAAAAAAAAAAAAAAAAAAAAAA
RNAcentral lists this long non-coding RNA (1993 nucleotides) under Sus scrofa (pig). Its description in RNAcentral is "lncRNA (ENSSSCG00030055193.1)". The record is from RNAcentral. Lineage: Eukaryota; Metazoa; Chordata; Mammalia; Artiodactyla; Suidae.